GCAUAUCAAUAAGCGGAGGAAAAGAAACCAACAGGGAUUGCCUCAGUAACGGCGAGUGAAGCGGCAAGAGCUCAAAUUUGAAAUCUGGCCCCUCCGGGGUCCGAGUUGUAAUUUGUAGAGGAUGCUUCGGGUGCGGCCCCCGUCUAAGUGCUCUGGAACGGGCCAUCGGAGAGGGUGAGAAUCCCGUCUGGGACGGGGUGUCCGCGUCCAUGUGAAGCUCCUUCGACGAGUCGAGUUGUUUGGGAAUGCAGCUCUAAAUGGGUGGUAAAUUUCAUCUAAAGCUAAAUACUGGCCGGAGACCGAUAGCGCACAAGUAGAGUGAUCGAAAGAUGAAAAGCACUUUGAAAAGAGAGUUAAACAGCACGUGAAAUUGUUGAAAGGGAAGCGCUUGCGACCAGACUCGCUUCCGGGGUUCAGCCGGCUUUCGGGCCGGUGUACUUCCCCGGGGGCGGGCCAGCGUCGGUUUGGGCGGCCGGUCAAAGGCCCCUGGAAUGUAACGCCCCUCGGGGCGCCUUAUAGCCAGGGGUGUCAUGCGGCCAGCCUGGACCGAGGAACGCGCUUCGGCACGGACGCUGGCAUAAUGGUCGUAAACGACCCGUCUUGAAACACGGACCAAGGAGUCUAACAUCUACGCGAGUGUUCGGGUGUCAAACCCGUGCGCGCAGUGAAAGCGAACGGAGGUGGGAGCCCCCUCGAGGGGCGCACCAUCGACCGAUCCUGAUGUCUUCGGAUGGAUUUGAGUAAGAGCGUAGCUGUGGGGACCCGAAAGAUGGUGAACUAUGCCUGAAUAGGGCGAAGCCAGAGGAAACUCUGGUGGAGGCUCGCAGCGGUUCUGACGUGCAAAUCGAUCGUCAAAUUUGGGUAUAGGGGCGAAAGACUAAUCGAACCAUCUGGUAGCUGGUUCCUGCCGAA
This 912-nucleotide ribosomal RNA is filed under the name Aspergillus ruber. RNAcentral describes it as "LSU rRNA". It matches the Rfam family "Eukaryotic large subunit ribosomal RNA", at positions 38 to 965 of the family's 3401-position model. The record is from RNAcentral. Lineage: Eukaryota; Fungi; Ascomycota; Eurotiomycetes; Eurotiales; Aspergillaceae.